Long non-coding RNA from Otolemur garnettii (small-eared galago), 158 nucleotides. RefSeq lists it as uncharacterized. NCBI's taxonomy places the organism in Eukaryota, Metazoa, Chordata, Mammalia, Primates, Galagidae. The record is from RefSeq and is a predicted model, not a curated record. The transcript has 3 exons.
GAGUGGGGAGUAAAACUCUGAUUUAAAGAUGCUUUCCUUCUAUCUUUUAGCCACUCUGCUGGCUUUAAGCACAGCCCAGCAAGAGGUUCAAGACAAAGGGACUGGUGUUUGGCAAGACCAGGAUGCACAGGAGGAAGACAGUCAAGUCGGACAACCAA